This 450-nucleotide ribosomal RNA is filed under the name uncultured bacterium. Its description in RNAcentral is "partial 16S ribosomal RNA". It matches the Rfam family "Bacterial small subunit ribosomal RNA", at positions 354 to 796 of the family's 1533-position model. The record is from RNAcentral.
UUGAGGAAUAUUGCGCAAUGGGCGAAAGCCUGACGCAGCGACGCCGCGUGGAGGAUGAAGGUCUUCGGAUUGUAAACUUCUGUUAAGUGGGAAGAAAGGGCUGUUUUUAAUAGAAGCAGUUAAUGACGGUACCAUUAAAGAAAGCACCGGCUAAACUCGUGCCAGCAGCCGCGGUAAUACGAGUGGUGCAAGCGUUAUUCGGAAUAAUUGGGCGUACAGGGUGUGUAGGCGGUAUGUUAAGUCUGUUGUUAAAGACUCCGGCCUAACCGGAGACAGGCAGCGGAAACUGGCGUACUAGAGGGUGGAAGAGAGAAGUGGAAUUCUCGGUGUAGCGGUAAAAUGCGUAGAUAUCGAGAGGAACACCGAUGGCGAAGGCAGCUUCUUGGUCCAUACCUGACGCUGAAACACGAAAGCGUGGGGAGCAAACAGGAUUAGAAACCCCUGUAGUCC